AACGCACGAGACCUGCGGACCUGCGGAAGGAUCAUUAACGAGUGUAACUUACCCUUUUUUUUAAAAGAGGGUAGUACCUCCUGUCCUUUGUAGGCCCCUUUUUAUUGGGGGGCUUUUUAAGACUUUCUGCUUCGGCGGGGUUAUUCCCGCCGGAACACCCUCAAAAAACUCUUCAAAAGCUAAUUCAGUCCGAGAAUUUUUGAAAAUAUAAAAAACUUUUAACAACGGAUCUCUAGAUCG
Molecule: unclassified non-coding RNA, 240 nt
Filed under: soil metagenome
Description: partial contains 5.8S ribosomal RNA, internal transcribed spacer 2, and large subunit ribosomal RNA
Source: RNAcentral